GUGUGACCUAGCCGUCGCUCCUCCCGCACUCGCGCCUCCCCCGCCUCGCCUCUCUCUCUCCCGCGCCUCCCAGCCCCGCCGCCGUCGUCUUCUCGCCCAGCCGGCCGCCGCCGCACGAUGCAGCGCCCAGAUCCACGGCGGGAUCGACGCGGCGUCGUUGACCUGAGCCACUACCGUCGUCGAGGUCCUCCCACCCCCUCUCGCCGUCGCGCCUUCCCCUCCUCCUCGUCCUCUCGCUGCUCAGCAGGAGGAGCACGGCUCGCCGCCGGUUCUCACACGCCGCUUCCCUCCUCCGCCCCUCCCUCGAGCCGCUCCUCACCCACCCACCACGGUCACCUCUCCUCCGACCACGCCGCCGUGCUGCGCGACGCCGAGUGGGCGCCCGCCCUCCCCGUCCCGCGACGGCCGAGAUCCAGUUCGUCGCCAUCGGCCUGAGAAGCGCUUGGGCCGCUGCUCCCCAUCGAGCCUGCGUGUGCGACGCAUCUGAUGGCCAACACAGCCGUGUACAACUCUGCUGCCUCCAGCUCGAGCGCCCAUCUCCACUAUGUCCAGGUUGCCGCUGUCGCGGAGUUGGAUGAGGUCAUGGCUUAGUUGACGAGGUCAACAACUAAUAGAGGUUUGUUUUUGAAAACUCCUAGGGCAAAGUUAAGCAAAUUGUUGGCUCUACUCUCCGGGAUGCAUCGAAUGAUGGCACGACACGGGUGACAAAAGUCUCCAUCAGAAUUUGCAAAUAUUUACAAAGAUGGACUGGUUGGUGGGCAUGUCAUAAUGCUUGGCGGAGACCCUGCAAGCUGCUAUGCUGCCCUGGAAGCACUCCUCUUCCUGCCUCACCACCUGUUCAGGAACCGUAUCAUAAGUGGCGCCUUCUUCCACGAACAGUUGCGGUGCUCGCUGUCGGCGUCAGACUCCCAAGCAAGUGAGGAUGACCACGACGCAGAGGAGGACGAGGACCCGAGCUCGAUUCCGACCACGACGCACCGCACAAGAUCCCUGCUUCCUUCCUGACGGCAAUGGAUCCCUUCCUUGCAGUUGCCUGGGUUGCUGACGAGAUCCAUCUGCCCGGCUGGAGCCUGUUAUUCUCUUGAUGGAAGUCAGCCCAAUUGUAGUUCAGACGGUGCCGUGCCGUUGGGGUUGCCUUGCCAGUCGACCGGAGAUGGAGCUUAUCGUUUGAGCCUCUGCCCUCCCCGUCGAGGUUGCUCCUCACCAUCGCAGGCACGGUCUGGUCGGGGCCACGACGACGAGAGGAGCAGCAGAGGAUAACUUUUCCCCACGGAUCCUUCUCGUCUUCCACGUGAUUCGAGUCGCCUCUCUCCGUCAGAUCCUGCACGGACCUCCCUGUCAGGCCCCUCUUGCCGCCCGUCGACACGUCCUUCGAUCUUGUUGUGUUGAUCAUGGGGACCAUUCCAUUUGAAGAGGCUCAUGCUGCCCGGAUUUCAUUAAGCAAGCCAUCUAUGUCCCAAAGUUGAGGACCGUUUGGAGAAGAGGCCACCCAGGUAAGCUUAUCCAAGCUCAAACAUUAAUUUAAUCACUAUUUAGUUGCCGUACUUGCGUUCCUAGAUGGAUCUUUUGAGAUUCCACAACUUUGAAAUUCUUACUUGGGAUCAUUUGAUAUGUGCCCUUGAAAAUAACAGAACGGAUCAUUCCUAGAUGAAUUCUUAGCUGAUUUCACUGGGCUUCUCCCUUUACGCUAAUAUGAAAUAUAUUAGCUGCAGUAUAUAGUCUAGGUUCAUUUUAAUGCGACUAAAUGAGAUAAAAAUACUACCUGCUUAUACCACUCGAGUAUCCACCGUUAGGACGUUAUGUUCCCUGCAAACACAACAUAACCUUUUUGACUUAUUAUCCCUAAAAAAAGCUGACUCUUUUUCACAAGCUGAAAAGACAAUCUGAUCUGCCACAUUUGGUCUGAAAUUUUCUUCUUGUGUGUCCACAUGAUAAAGAGGAUGCCUUUGAUCAAUUGUAAAUCACUUAUUUUUCUAGGAUAUAUAGAUUUCUUGAAUUACCCACAAUAUACUUUUAUGUCAUCUAAUAUAUGUCUCCCAGACAAUUUAAACAGAUGCAGGAUAUGAUUAGGCGCACAUAUACAAGUAUCUUUAUGACGACACGUGCACCAGUUUUCAUUGUUAUUGUUCUUGCCUGUUGCCUCCCCCCCCUAUCGCUUCGCUAGGUGAGAGACCCCUCUCCUUUCCUGUUAGAAAAUACCAAGUAUUUGCAAUGCUUGAUUGUUAUGCCAACUUUUCUUAGAACCUUGGUGCAUGGGCCAUACAGCGAUCUCCAUACUACAAUUUAGAAUUAUAAGAAAUUGCAUCCUCUAUUUAUUUAGGAAUCUAGGUUUGUAUUUUUCUGAUUUGGUUUUUGCUUUCUGGUCAUUUGGUACCGUGCGCCAUGAUGUACUUCCUGUCUAUCAUGCUUGGGUUUGUAGCUUUGUGGAGACAUGGAACCGAAGUCAUGAGGUGGACAUUAUCAUUUUGUUAGACUGGGUGUGGAAUUGCAAGUUACUCCAUUGGCAACCACAUACAGACCCGCACCAACUAUCCAUGCUCUAAGUCAGUCUGUUAGGGGAAAAUCAAAGGCAUGUGGGCACCUGAUCUAUUUGUAACAUCGACAUGUGAUGUGUGCAACUAAAAAAAUGUUAGGCUAUGAUAGCAAUUCUUUUCAACACAUGUUCUCAUACAUUCUGGAUAUACUUCCUGCUAAAAUGACAUAUAUAUUUUCUUUUACAUGUCGCCUUUA
Long non-coding RNA from Triticum aestivum (bread wheat), 2730 nucleotides. RefSeq lists it as uncharacterized. The transcript has 10 exons. The record is from RefSeq and is a predicted model, not a curated record. NCBI's taxonomy places the organism in Eukaryota, Viridiplantae, Streptophyta, Magnoliopsida, Poales, Poaceae.